This 1545-nucleotide long non-coding RNA is filed under the name Bemisia tabaci. Its description in RNAcentral is "lncRNA ENSASIAIIG008212". The record is from RNAcentral. Lineage: Eukaryota; Metazoa; Arthropoda; Insecta; Hemiptera; Aleyrodidae.
AUGUCAUAUCUCUUAGUUUCAAUUUUGAUGGCGUACCCUCUUCAAAGCUCCAAAGCAUGUUUGUGGCCCAUACUUUGUCGUGUAGUUACGUCCAUGGGCAAGAAAGUAUUUGUUAUUGGUGUGCAUUAUGGUGUUGAAAAACCAGCAGAUUUGGGGGCAUAUUUAAAGCAGUUUAUUGCUGAGUUGAAGGAAUUGAUAACGAAUGGGAUCAAACUGAACGGAAAAUUUUACUCUGUUAAUAUUGAUCAUUUUUGUUGCGAUGCACCAGCUAAAAGUUGGGUCUUACGGAUCAUAGGUCAUGGAGGUUAUUCAUCUUGUACAUGUUGCACUCAGCGGGGUGCAAAACAGAAAAAAACUCCCACUCAAAAAGCAAGUGCAGUAUAUUUCCCUUAUAAACCAAGUAAAAUGAUUGAGAGAACAGCCAAUGAUUUUAAUACACAAACUUACGUAAAUUUUCAUCAUGGAAUAACUCCACUCACUGAGCUACCGGUAGAAAAUAUUUUAGAAUUAUUUCCUUAUGACCCCAUGCAUCUCGUCUACGGUGGAGUAGUGAAAACCAUCAUGGUGGCUUGGUACAAAGGUAAAAAGCCCUACAAACUAUCGCCCUCUUUAAUUAAAUUGAUGUCUGUUCGAAUGAUAGCAUCAAGGAAGACUGUUUCAGCCUCUGACUUUCCGAGAAGGCCAAGGCCUCUCAGUGAUGUACACCAUAUGAAGGCAACUGAAUUUAAACUCUUCGGGAACUAUCUGGGUUUAGUUAUUCCGAAAGGAAUUCUGAGUGAGGAUCGGUACCUCCAUUUUUUGAAUCUGUGUGUUGGCAUUCGAAUUUUAUCCAUGCCGCCACAUCUUCACCAACCACUGCUAGAUUUGGCUGAGAAACUCCUCCAUAAUUUUGUGCGACACUGUGGAAAAUUUUAUAGAAAGACAAUUCUAACUUACAACUUUCAUGGACUUCUUCAUUUGGUUAAGUUUGUACGAAAGCAUGGCAGCCUAGACAAAUUUUCUGCCAAUGACUUUGAAAAUUAUUUAGGUCUGUUAUUGGGCAAGGUUCGCUCGGGGAACUGUGUUCUGGAGCAGCUCAACAACCGCUUGGCAGAGGAAGAAGCUUUUGAGGAAACAGAAAUGGUUUGUCAAGAGUCGUAUCCAAUUUUCACACACCCUCAUCAUAGUCAGUACUUGCCAUACCAUUGUUCUGAGCCGCAGUUUCAGACAGUUGUAUUUUCUGAUUACAAAAUCAGUACCAAAACAAUAGGUGAUUCAUGUUGCACGGUAACUGGUGGUAAAAUAAUUAUCGUCACAAAUAUUUGCAAGCUAAAAGUGUCAGAUGAGAUGGUUUUGGUAGGGAAAGAGUUUCUGGGGAAGGCGGAUUUCUUUACAGAACCUUGCAAAAGCUCAGAUAUCGGUGUUUUUUUAGUUAGCAAAGCGAGAAUGUCUCGAGAAAAAACAUGGCCGAUCUCAUCAAUCGAACACAAAAAUGUUGUUCUUCAAGUGAAAGAAGAACUAGUUGUCCUCUCACUUCUGCAUACCAUGGAAAAAAAAAGAGUAUAG